UACGAAGGGUGCAGGCGUUACUCGGCAUUACUGGGCGUAAAGCGUGCGUAGGUGGUUUGUUAAGUCUGAUGUGAAAGCCCUGGGCUCAACCUGGGAAUUGCAUUGGAUACUGGCAGGCUAGAGUGCGGUAGAGGAUGGCGGAAUUCCCGGUGUAGCAGUGAAAUGCGUAGAGAUCGGGAGGAACAUCUGUGGCGAAGGCGGCCAUCUGGACCAGCACUGACACUGAGGCACGAAAGCGUGGGGAGCAAACAGG
RNAcentral lists this ribosomal RNA (253 nucleotides) under uncultured bacterium. Its description in RNAcentral is "partial 16S ribosomal RNA". It matches the Rfam family "Bacterial small subunit ribosomal RNA", at positions 524 to 776 of the family's 1533-position model. The record is from RNAcentral.